GCAUAUGUGUCUGAGUGGUCUAAAGAGCCAGCCUCAAGAUCUGGUGGCGAAAGCCGCGCAGGUUCGAAUCCUGCCAUAUGCA
Molecule: transfer RNA, 82 nt
Filed under: bacterium
Lineage: Bacteria
Description: tRNA-Leu
Rfam family: tRNA
About the family: Transfer RNA (tRNA) molecules are approximately 80 nucleotides in length. Their secondary structure includes four short double-helical elements and three loops (D, anti-codon, and T loops). Further hydrogen bonds mediate the characteristic L-shaped molecular structure. tRNAs have two regions of fundamental functional importance: the anti-codon, which is responsible for specific mRNA codon recognition, and the 3' end, to which the tRNAs corresponding amino acid is attached (by aminoacyl-tRNA synthetases). tRNAs cope with the degeneracy of the genetic code in two manners: having more than one tRNA (with a specific anti-codon) for a particular amino acid; and 'wobble' base-pairing, i.e. permitting non-standard base-pairing at the 3rd anti-codon position.
Source: RNAcentral